GAGCUUGCUCCCUGAAGUCAGCGGCGGACGGGUGAGUAACACGUGGGCAACCUGCCUGUAAGACUGGGAUAACUCCGGGAAACCGGGGCUAAUACCGGAUAACUCUUUCCCUCACAUGAGGGAAAGCUGAAAGAUGGUUU
This 140-nucleotide ribosomal RNA is filed under the name Cytobacillus firmus. RNAcentral's name for it is "Bacillus firmus partial 16S ribosomal RNA". It matches the Rfam family "Bacterial small subunit ribosomal RNA", at positions 76 to 214 of the family's 1533-position model. The record is from RNAcentral. Lineage: Bacteria; Bacillati; Bacillota; Bacilli; Caryophanales; Bacillaceae.